GCCUCUGCAGCUGGUGACGAGCUCAACCCUGUUGAUCCAACUGAACUUUUAGCCAGUUUUGUCUGAUGCAUUGGC
Ochotona princeps (American pika) is the source of this 75-nucleotide small nucleolar RNA. The record is from Ensembl. Lineage: Eukaryota; Metazoa; Chordata; Mammalia; Lagomorpha; Ochotonidae.